ACCAUUGCUGACAAAAAAGAUGACGACAAGCGACUACGGCCCU
This 43-nucleotide small RNA is filed under the name Arabidopsis thaliana (thale cress). RNAcentral's name for it is "ATSL147210". Lineage: Eukaryota; Viridiplantae; Streptophyta; Magnoliopsida; Brassicales; Brassicaceae. The record is from RNAcentral.